RNAcentral lists this ribosomal RNA (450 nucleotides) under uncultured bacterium. Its description in RNAcentral is "partial 16S ribosomal RNA". It matches the Rfam family "Bacterial small subunit ribosomal RNA", at positions 354 to 796 of the family's 1533-position model. The record is from RNAcentral.
GUGGGGAAUAUUGGACAAUGGGCGAAAGCCUGAUCCAGCCAUGCCGCGUGUGUGAAGAAGGUCUUCGGAUUGUAAAGCACUUUAAGUUGGGAGGAAGGGCAGUAAGUUAAUACCUUGCUGUUUUGACGUUACCGACAGAAUAAGCACCGGCUAACUUCGUGCCAGCAGCCGCGGUAAUACGAAGGGUGCAAGCGUUAAUCGGAAUUACUGGGCGUAAAGCGCGCGUAGGUGGUUUUGUAAGUUGGAGGUGAAAUCCCCGGGCUCAACCUGGGAACUGCCUCCAAAACUGCAUGACUAGAGUACGGUAGAGGGUAGUGGAAUGUCCUGUGUAGCGGUGAAAUGCGUAGAUAUAGGAAGGAACACCAGUGGCGAAGGCGACUACCUGGACUGAUACUGACACUGAGGUGCGAAAGCGUGGGGAGCAAACAGGAUUAGAAACCCGUGUAGUCC